AACGACCAGGGAAACCCUUUUUGGUUGACCUGAUAUAACGGGAGGGCGCUUGCGCCCUGUCUGUUUAACCCUUUGCUUAUGCGUACCUUUUUUGUUGCUUCCUCGGCGGGGACGCUCGCCGGUGGAUAGCCCUUUUCCAACCCCUUUGCAGUUGCAAUCAACUUCUGAUCUUGACCAAAAAAUUAGUCA
Molecule: unclassified non-coding RNA, 189 nt
Filed under: uncultured fungus
Lineage: Eukaryota; Fungi
Description: sequence contains ITS1
Source: RNAcentral